GUGGGGAAUCUUCCGCAAUGGACGAAAGUCUGACGGAGCAACGCCGCGUGAACGAUGACGGCCUUCGGGUUGUAAAGUUCUGUUAUACGGGACGAAUGGUACGACGGCCAAUACCCAUCGUAAGUGACGGUACCGUAAGAGAAAGCCACGGCUAACUACGUGCCAGCAGCCGCGGUAAUACGUAGGUGGCAAGCGUUGUCCGGAAUUAUUGGGCGUAAAGGGCGCGCAGGCGGCGUCGUAAGUCGGUCUUAAAAGUGCGGGGCUUAACCCCGUGAGGGGACCGAAACUGCGAUGCUAGAGUAUCGGAGAGGAAAGCGGAAUUCCUAGUGUAGCGGUGAAAUGCGUAGAUAUUAGGAGGAACACCAGUGGCGAGAGCGGCUUUCUGGACGACAACUGACGCUGAGGCGCGAAAGCCAGGGGAGCAAACGGGAUUAGAAACCCGUGUAGUCC
Molecule: ribosomal RNA, 450 nt
Filed under: uncultured bacterium
Lineage: Bacteria
Description: bacterial SSU rRNA
Rfam family: Bacterial small subunit ribosomal RNA
Source: RNAcentral